AACGUGCUGGAAUAGGCUUAGGCUAGCUGCUAGUUUAACGACAAAACAUGUAUGAUGAGUUGUCCUUUGAUAUUGAUCACAGUACUAUAUGUACGUACUUGCGCUUUCCUCCUCAUGGUGUCAACCCCAACCGGCCACGCAUCACCACCGUCUGCACGAAGGAAUGGCACAGUGGGACGCUCUCGUCGGUGCCGCGCUAGCGAGUCUGGCCGCUAGGAGGCUCCUGUUCAACACGCGCCUCAUCUCCCUCGCGCCACCGCCGCCGCCCUCCGAAACCUUCGCCGGCCCGGAGCCCUGGGACCGCGACACCGUCGAGGUCCAGAUCGACCGCAACUCUCUCCAGCAAUGGCUCGCCGCGAAUGGCGUGGUGAGCAGCAAAGAAGACGAGGUGAACCGUAAACUGGUCCUUUUCUCCGGGAACGACUACAUGUGCCUCAGCUCGCAUCCGGUAGUCCGUGAGGCUGCAGUCAAGGCAGCUCAGGAGUACGGCAUGGGGCCGAGAGGGUCUUCGUUGAUCUGUGGCUACACAACUUACCACAAAUUGGUGGAGGAAUCACUAGCAAAACUGCAGAAAAAAGAGGAUUGUCUCCUUUGUCCCACCGGAUUUUCUGCAAACACGGCCGUGAUGACUGCCUUGGGUAGUAUCAGCUCUCUUUUAUCUGCUGGGAGAAAACCUGCAGAGGAUGAGAGGAUAGCAAUUUUCUCAGAUGCGUUGAACCAUGCAUCAACUAUUGAUGGGAUCCGCCUUGUGGAGAGACAGCAAGAAGCGGUAGCAUUUGUCUACAAGCACCGUGACAUGUCGCAUCUUGAUUCCCUGCUGUCCAGUUGCUCAUUUGAAAGGAAAGUCGUCGUCACCGAUAGUAUCUUCAGCAUGGAUGGCGAUUUCGCUCUUCUGCCUGAACUUGUCAAAUUACGAAGAAAAUAUGGAUUUUUGUUGGUCGUGGAUGAUGCACAUGGAACGCUUGUUUGCGGUGAGAACGGUGGUGGUGUACCUGAGCUGUUUGCAUGUCAAAAUGACAUUGAUAUUUGUCUGGGCUCCUUGAGCAAGGGAGUUGGUUGCCAGGGUGGUUUUAUAGCAUGCAGCGGCGAUCUAUGUCUCAAAGAAGGAGAUAUGGCGAAGAUCAAUUAUUUGGGAUCAUGUGCGGUAUUUUGCUUCUUUGACCAAACUUGAGAUAACUAGUCCCAUCAUUGUCAUUGUAGUUGGAAGUGAAGAAGCAGCUGUCAGAGCUCACAGGCAUCUUCUAAGAUCUGGAUUUCUUGUCCAACCAAUAUGACCGCCCGUAGUGCCACCCAACUCAUCUAGGUUCCAGAUCAUUUAAUUUUUCUCUCUCCAUAUUAUGAAUUUUGCAUCUCCCUUUUCAUGUCGUGAUGUUUCUACAUCAACCUAUCUCGCUCCGUUUCAAAAUAUAAGUCGUUUUAGCUUUUAUUAAUUCAUAAUAUUUGCUAUAUACCUAGAUAGAAUAUAUCCUAGACGCAUGACAAUAAAACAGCCUAGCUACAUUUUGUAACAGAGGGAGUAGAAUUGAUAAUGCACCGCGUUUUGCUCAUGUAAUAAGUGGGAUCCCUGCAAGAAUUUGAUGAAUGAACAUAUACAUCCCCUAGUAGCACAAUACAAGAGUCCAUUUAUUUCAACUUAGUCUAACUGUGGAUCUCUUGCCAGGUUGCGAAUUACCCUUAGUGCAGCUCAUUCUUCGGAUGACAUCAAAAGGCUUGUUGAUGCGCUCACUCCCUGGCUCCCUAUUAAUCAUGCUGAGCAGAGUUACGCUGCAUCUUCAAGACUAUAAGGAAUGGACCAUCUACUGCGUUGGUGUAUGCCCAAGAACCAUCAUGGGGAUCAUUGUAUCUCACUUCUUGCAUUUGAUAUAAUUUUGAACAAUGUGUUUUUUUUUGGCCAGGAGAUGGAACAAUGCGUUAUUCUCUGUUUGUUGGAUAAUUAUCUUUUUUAACAUACAAUCAAUCAACAACUAUGUGACUUUUUUUAA
This is an RNA transcript of Panicum virgatum (switchgrass), 1982 nucleotides long. It is a transcript of the gene named 8-amino-7-oxononanoate synthase-like, with no coding region annotated. The transcript is spliced from 9 exons. The record is from RefSeq and is a predicted model, not a curated record. Lineage: Eukaryota; Viridiplantae; Streptophyta; Magnoliopsida; Poales; Poaceae.